CCUACGGGGGGCAGCAGUGGGGAAUAUUGGACAAUGGGGGCAACCCUGAUCCAGCCAUGCCGCGUGUGUGAAGAAGGCCCUCGGGUUGUAAAGCACUUUCAGUGAGGAAGAACGCCUGGUGGUUAAUACCCAUCAGGAAAGACAUCACUCACAGAAGAAGCACCGGCUAACUCCGUGCCAGCAGCCGCGGUAAUACGGAGGGUGCGAGCGUUAAUCGGAAUUACUGGGCGUAAAGCGCGCGUAGGUGGCUUGAUAAGCCGGUUGUGAAAGCCCCGGGCUCAACCUGGGAACGGCAUCCGGAACUGUCAAGCUAGAGUGCAGGAGAGGAAGGUAGAAUUCCCGGUGUAGCGGUGAAAUGCGUAGAGAUCGGGAGGAAUACCAGUGGCGAAGGCGGCCUUCUGGACUGAAACUGACACUGAGGUGCGAAAGCGUGGGUAGCAAACAGGAUUAGAUACCCCAGUAGUC
This 465-nucleotide ribosomal RNA is filed under the name Vreelandella stevensii. RNAcentral describes it as "partial 16S ribosomal RNA". It matches the Rfam family "Bacterial small subunit ribosomal RNA", at positions 338 to 795 of the family's 1533-position model. The record is from RNAcentral. Lineage: Bacteria; Pseudomonadati; Pseudomonadota; Gammaproteobacteria; Oceanospirillales; Halomonadaceae.